Molecule: non-coding RNA, 72 nt
Organism: Aedes albopictus (Asian tiger mosquito)
Lineage: Eukaryota; Metazoa; Arthropoda; Insecta; Diptera; Culicidae
Source: Rfam
GGCUCGGUAGCUUAGUUGGAAAAGCACUUGUCUAGCGAACAAGGGUCGUGAGUUCAAAUCUCAUCUGAGCUG